Molecule: ribosomal RNA, 465 nt
Filed under: uncultured Klebsiella sp.
Lineage: Bacteria; Pseudomonadati; Pseudomonadota; Gammaproteobacteria; Enterobacterales; Enterobacteriaceae
Description: bacterial SSU rRNA
Rfam family: Bacterial small subunit ribosomal RNA
Source: RNAcentral
CCUACGGGUGGCUGCAGUGGGGAAUAUUGCACAAUGGGCGCAAGCCUGAUGCAGCCAUGCCGCGUGUGUGAAGAAGGCCUUCGGGUUGUAAAGCACUUUCAGCGGGGAGGAAGGCGUUAAGGUUAAUAACCUUGUCGAUUGACGUUACCCGCAGAAGAAGCACCGGCUAACUCCGUGCCAGCAGCCGCGGUAAUACGGAGGGUGCAAGCGUUAAUCGGAAUUACUGGACGUAAAGCGCACGCAGGCGGUCUGUCAAGUCGGAUGUGAAAUCCCCGGGCUCAACCUGGGAACUGCAUUCGAAACUGGCAGGCUAGAGUCUUGUAGAGGGGGGUAGAAUUCCAGGUGUAGCAGUGAAAUGCGUAGAGAUCUGGAGGAAUACCGGCGGCGAAGGCGGCCCCCUGGACAAAGACUGACGCUCAGGUGUGAAAGCGUGGGGAGCAAACAGGAUUAGAUACCCCAGUAGUC